UCCAACACACCUAUCAGUCAUCGUGCACCU
RNAcentral lists this non-coding RNA (30 nucleotides) under Mus musculus (house mouse). Lineage: Eukaryota; Metazoa; Chordata; Mammalia; Rodentia; Muridae. The record is from RNAcentral.